CGGGGAACGGGGCCGGGAUGCGGAGGCUGAUCAGUUCCGCCCGGCCCGGCCCUUCCACGGGAAACGCGGGGAAACGCCGGCUAGAGAGCGGGGCCGUGGAGAGAAGAGGGACCACGGGAAGAAGCGGCCCCUCCGUGUCGGCCCUUCCGCCCGUGCGGGCCCGCCGGGCACCCUCUCUUGUAACCAAGCUUGGAGCCACCCCCCAGCACCCACAGGCAGGAGCCAGCCCCGUACACCUCCCUGACCUCUGGGUUAUUACAUCUCCCAACCUGUGGGUUAUUACGGCUCCCUGACCUGUGGGUUACACCUCCUCAGGCCGCAGCAGCCAUGGACAAAGCUCUCAGUCACCUCCCCUCAGUGCCUGCUUGGAAACCAUUUCUCUGUUGGCUUGUGACACAUUCGGACGUGACCAGGGCACUUCCAUCACUCGCCCCGUUGAGGAGGCAGAGGAAGAACAUCUGAGCGUCCCUUGAAGCUCAGAGGGCUGUGUGACUGAGGUCACUGUUCAUCCCGUGCUUCUGUUUCUAUUCCACCAAAACUCUCACUUAGGCAAAUGCAGCCCAAAGUCCUGGAAGCUCCCCCUACUUGGCUUUACCCUGGAUGACUUCUCCGAGCCAGUGUCUGAUGUCUGAAAUGCAAUCGCAGUUAUGAAGGUUUGCAUACAAGGCCAUGAACUGCGGGUAACAACGGAGCCACCAGCAUUGUAAGAAAAAAAAGACGGAAUAAUGAGAUUAUCGCAGUUUAAAUUACUAAGCAACAGUUUCUCUGACAAUGAACUUAGUAACGCUCUGCCAUCUAUUUAAUCACGCUAAUGAGACAGAACAACUCCACUUAGAUACAAAUUACUCUGCAUUUCAUUUAAAUAAGGGUCAGGGAGCUAAAUGCCACACAAGCCACCACACUUCUGCUGUACAGCACAUCCAGCAAAAGACCUCCUUUGUUUCCAGAAUGGACCCAGGCUUUCUGGCCAUGAGCUGCCAAGGCAGGGCUGCACAAGGCAUCUUGCUCAAACCUCCCACCUCCACUCCCCAACCGCCUGUGCGUGGGCCCAGAGCCUCUCUGGCUUGGGAACAGCUCCUUGGUUUGGAGAGGCUGACAGUCGAAGCCAAGCAGCACGGCUUGUUGAGAAUCUUCUCACUUAUCCGGCUGGUGCCAUCAUGAUCGUCUUAAUAUAAAAAUCUGGUUUGGUAUGUGUCUCUCACCAUUUAAAACUGAUGACUUCCCUUGGAUAUUUAAAAAUUUUGUUUCAAAUCCAUGCCUCUUGGGCUGAAGCUGGUCGUGCGAGAGCAGGUCUGUAAUAAACUGAAGAAAACUGACUGGCAGUUACGACUGGAUUAUUCACACAUGCUAGUAGUCUUAAUCUUUACUUGGAAGCCCAGAGCUGGCCCAGGGCUCACAUCUGAUAUAUGUUCCCUGGCCACAGGGAGAGGGGAGCUAAGGUGACAUCCCAUGGGGCCCUUUCCCAGUGGGUGGCUGCAUGAUCCCUCCAGAGGCCAGGAAUAUUCCCACAUGCUCACACCAGCAUUAGGUUUCCUCAAGCCUCACUCCUUGCUGCACUUCUUUCCAUUCCUCUUAAUUAGCGGGGGAGUAAUUCCAGGCUAUGCAAGUCAUUCAGCAUCUCCUCCCUCCUCCACGAUCAGCUUCCCCAGUACAGUUCAUGCCUGUAAUAAGAUGUCAGCCUCGAGCUCAGCUUGGCAAGCCUUUCAUUCCCGCACUGCUCUUGCCUGCACAUGGCUCCUACUCACUUCCUAAACUUCCAGCCCCCCAUCCCAUCAGCUCUAGGAUGAACCUCCAGCUAGCUGUGCUCCCAGACACACAAGGCAGGCUGAUCCUCUGGCUGCAUGGCUGUCCAGGUGACCCCACAGCACUUCUUGAGAGCAUUUCACUCCGAGCAAUGGUGUGAGGCCGGUAUAAGGCGCUUUAGCUGCAGGAGCCACUGCAACAGCAACACAGCUCAACCCUCCUCAGCCCUCCUCCUCACCUAGACAAAGGAGAUGAAGCAUUUAAGCCGGUGAGGAUCUGCUCCUGCAGGCAGUUUCUUCCACUGCCAAAACCAUUCACAAAAUAAACAGGCAACAAACAUUCAAAUUCCACAAACACCUUCCUCUCUCUUGUGUACACUGUGUGUAUAUAUACAUACACAUAUGUACAAUUUUUAAGAGCUGGUGAAAAGUGCCAAACUGACAGUUUGAAAGAAAAAGCACUUCCUGUUAUUUACAAAGCUGGUACAAUAUAGGAAGCAGCAGAGCAAACUUCUCCCUCUUGCACUGUCAUCUCCACAAUCCAGAGGGAACACUCUUAAGCAUAAAGUUAAUGCAUAUUCAUAUUUUUCAUCUUCCCUGCUAAGGACCUAAGAAUUGAACUUUUUACAGGGAGCAGAGAACUGUUAUGCAGUUCCCUAAUUCGGUAUUAUUCUUACCAUGUGAGGGUUGCAAAUUUCAUUUAUAUGAAAACCAAGACCCUGAAUCAAAAAAAUGUAACCCUCCCCAAAACUCAGCCACUUCUCACCAACCCAGUUCCAACACAAUACAAUGUUCUAACUGCAUAUUCCUCACCCACAAUCUUAAUCCCAUGCUCUGUCUGCAUGGUGUGGUCUGUGCCAUUUUUACGUGCCUGUGGUAGUUCAAAUUAAUGCACAUGGUUUUAGUUAUUAUUUACUUACAAAACAUUUCAUCAGAGGAUGUGUCUGAUUCAGGACUCAAAAAGCCAGGCCACUAAAGGAGGACAGCACUUAAUGAAGCAGCGGGAAAAUGUCAUGCUUUAAAGGUGUCUUGCACGGAAAUAGAUUCCAUGCUCUAUCCUCAGUCCUCCCGAGGUCAAAAAUAAUAAUUAUGAGAAGGGAGCUGGAAGAAGGAGGAUAGGAAAUGGGGAUUUUUUGAGCAGGGCAGCAGGAAAGCUCCAUCAGUUUAGUCACCUGCUGGGCAGCCCUGUCCCUUGCCAGGCACUUUCUAUUACUCCUGAGCAAUUACAUACUGAUGAAUGAGUCACAGAAGAAAAACACAACUGGACUUUGUUUACUGGGGUGCAAGCUCAGCUCUGCGAUUUCUCAAGAGCUGCAGAGAUGCAGAGCUGGCAGUUCUGCUCCACUAGCCAAGGUGUGAGGGACCGCAGGUGAAGGAUCUGUGCUUUCCUGUGAAAGGCUGUGAUUAAUGGUAAGGGUUUUCUCCACCCCAAGUUCCUUCUACCUGAUCUGCCCAGGCCCAGGAACCACAAGCAAAAACAUCUGUAACUUAUGGUUUAAGGUUUAAUUUGUUGGCUGUGCUUCGGGCAAGCGGGGAGCACACAUAAACCAUGGUGUGCUGACAGCAGGGCCAGUGGCAGUGCCCAGUGGGCAGGCUGCUCUCCUGCUGGGAAGGGCUGAGAGCCACGACCUGCACUCAGUGGGUUUUUGCAAGAGCCUUAGACUGGCUGUGUGUGCCUGUGUCCGGCUGCCUGAGGAAGAGGAAGGAGAGCAAUCAGAAAAGACAGCAGCAACAAAGAGCUGCCUCUGAGCCAGCCACACAUGCAAACUCCCAUGCCCAUCCUGAGAGAUCUUCAGCCUCUUCAAAAACCAAAGACUAUUGCCAGAUCCCCUCUUGGGGGUUGUGGAUGAGUCCCUCAGCUCCAGAAAGCCUGCCUUGCCCACUCAGCCAUAUGGAGCCCUGGAGACAGUGUCCAUGGGCUGCUAACGGAGAUCCGGCUUGGGCUCCUGACAACAAAAUGCCAGUUACAGCCGUGACCCCUUCACCAGUCCUGUCUGCUGAGGCUGUAGCUCUCCAGCAGGACUCUCUUACCUAGUGAUCUGCUGCCACGGCAGAAUUCAUGUGCUAUUGUAGGAUAAACCAACUUGCCAAAAAAAAAACCAAGAAGAACAAUACUUAGAUAGCAAGUGCCCAAAGGUUAGGAGAGGCCAGAGGGUUUUUUCCAUACAAUCUUUUCUAAGUUUUUCUGGUGGGCAAGGCAGAGCCUUUAAAUUCACGGGUAGGACCCCAGCUCCUGAUGUGCACUGGUAACACUGGAGGUACACAUCUGUGGCUGCCCUGGCACAGUGGCAUCACUCGCACGUGGUCUUCUGGCACUUCUGGAAAAGUGUGCUGGGAAUCUGUCAGGCUAGUGGGGACUGUGUUUGGGCAGCAGACUUUGCAGCCAGAGUCAAAACCCAAAUCCACAGGUUUGGGUCAGCCCCUUGCUCCUGCCUCCUGUGUCAGUGCUGCUGUGCUCCAUGGGCGACCAUCUCAGCUGCCACUGAAGCCAGAAAGAGCCAGCUGUUUCCAUUUCCCCUUGCAUUCCUAGGCUGAAGCAGCACCAUCCCCCAGUGCCUCACCUCCUGCAGCUUUGCCAGCUCAUUCUGCUCGUUCUCAGCCUCCCUUGGGCACUCCUUGGUAAAUAAAUCCCCCUGCUUCUUUCCCUAUCCCAUAGGGCCAGGCAGUAGCACAAGGGCCAUUCCAGCGGGCUAGAAUAAUUAUCUCCUUUUGUGUUAUUAUUUGUGGAACAAUUAUGUUUAUCAUGGUGAUGCUUAGGGCCAGACCUGUGUCCAGGAUUGUGCUUUCUACUUCAGGCUUUGCCCAGAGACCCUCGGUCUUGGUUGGGGCACCCAGACCUGUGGCACUGCUCUCUGCCCUCUAUGCAGUCACAAUUUCAUGGCUUUGCCUUCAGCAAAACAGUCCCAACUCCCAAGUGUGCAUAGUAGCAUGACUCAGAGCUGAAACUCCUCCAGUGAACAUUUUGGGAACUUCCCAAUCUGAGUGAUACUGGGCUUUGGCUGGUGUCCCGCAGUCACACACCCCACCACACCUACCCACCUGGCACUGCCAAAAUGUCACUGGCACUGCUCAGCACAGCACAGCAGUGCAGACUAUUUAGGCAGGGAAAAGCCAGUUCAGAUAGGUAUAUCAAUCAAAGUAAGUCAGCUUGCCCUUCAGCUGCUUUAAACCUGCCACCCCCAGCCUUUGAAUACCAUUUUUGCUUCUGUGGCCACUUUGCACAGCCUGGUUUUGCCCAAAGAUAGACCCAAAAUCCUGCUCCCACUGCAUUUCUGUGGGAUCGGGGCCAGUCCCAGCAGACCCUUUAGGAGGUGUCUGCAGGCAAGAGAAGGUCAGAAGCUUUGGCUCGGCAGCUGCAGACACCCCUCACUGAGUCCCUCAAGCAGAGAACUGGUUACAGAAAACUUCAUGUCCCCAUUCAACAAACUUAAUGCUUGCAAGAUUUUGCACCACUAAGUCAAACAAGAUAAAUAAAAGCUGGCAAAAAUA
Molecule: long non-coding RNA, 5231 nt
Organism: Pipra filicauda (Wire-tailed manakin)
Lineage: Eukaryota; Metazoa; Chordata; Aves; Passeriformes; Pipridae
Exons: 2
Source: RefSeq, a predicted model, not a curated record